RNAcentral lists this ribosomal RNA (490 nucleotides) under uncultured bacterium. Its description in RNAcentral is "partial 16S ribosomal RNA". It matches the Rfam family "Bacterial small subunit ribosomal RNA", at positions 29 to 505 of the family's 1533-position model. The record is from RNAcentral.
AGUGAACGCUGGCGGUAGGCCUAACACAUGCAAGUCGGACGGCAGCACAGUAAGAGCUUGCUCUUACGGGUGGCGAGUGGCGGACGGGUGAGGAAUACAUCGGAAUCUACUUUUUCGUGGGGGAUAACGUAGGGAAACUUACGCUAAUACCGCAUACGACCUACGGGUGAAAGCAGGGGAUCUUCGGACCUUGCGCGAUUGAAUGAGCCGAUGUCGGAUUAGCUAGUUGGCGGGGUAAAGGCCCACCAAGGCGACGAUCCGUAGCUGGUCUGAGAGGAUGAUCAGCCACACUGGAAAUGAGACACGGUCCAGACUCCUACGGGAGGCAGCAGUGGGGAAUAUUGGACAAUGGGCGCAAGCCUGAUCCAGCCAUACCGCGUGGGUGAAGAAGGCCUUCGGGUUGUAAAGCCCUUUUGUUGGGAAAGAAAAGCAGCAGGUUAAUACCCCGCUGUUCUGACGGUACCCAAAGAAUAAGCACCGGCUAACUUCG